GGUCUCACGGAGAAGGGGGUGUUUGGCAAAGGCUGGAAGGAGGAGACCUGGGAGAGGUGUGGGGAAGAGACACCAGGUAGAGGGAACAGCCAGUGCGAAGGCCUGCGGUGGGGGUACUUGGAGUGGACGGAGAUUCUCUUUUGAGCAUCCUAUUCAUUUUUUAAAUCUCCCAUGGUGCUGUGCACACCGCAGUUAUUCCAUAAAUGUGGACGAGUGAGCGAAAGAAUGAAAUGUUGAAUGAAUAAACGAAUGCACGAGGCAUCUGAGUUGUGCACUUUAUAUUUAAAGUCACCACAUGGAAACCAAGGGGAAAUGACAUGCUCAGAAAAUCACAGAAUCAUGUUUCUACUACAGCAUAUGUACCUACCUACAUAUAUACUCAUCUUCAAGCACACAUGUGCCCAUAGGAAAUCAGAAUGCAUUUUUCUUGCAAAUUACAGACUUCAAAGGCACAACUCACCUUUUCGGAAAAUAAAGUCUGCAUUUCAGGAUACGGCCUUUGAAACAACGCUGACUGACACCAUCACCCGGGUCUGAAAAUCCAGUUUUUGUAUUUCAGAAUCACAGACUGACAAGGGCACAAGAUGUAGUAGAAAGAAAACAGCAUGAGGACUCAAACGAUCUGCGUCUGGGUUUUAUUUCUAGUUCCAUCCUCUAUCAACCUCUCUGAGCCUCAGUUUCUUCACAUAUAAAAUGGGAAUAGCGAUACGUGUUUGGCCAAUGGAAUAAACACCUCAUGUGUUGCUGA
Microcebus murinus (gray mouse lemur) is the source of this 748-nucleotide non-coding RNA. The record is from RefSeq and is a predicted model, not a curated record. NCBI's taxonomy places the organism in Eukaryota, Metazoa, Chordata, Mammalia, Primates, Cheirogaleidae.